RNAcentral lists this ribosomal RNA (253 nucleotides) under uncultured bacterium. Its description in RNAcentral is "partial 16S ribosomal RNA". It matches the Rfam family "Bacterial small subunit ribosomal RNA", at positions 524 to 776 of the family's 1533-position model. The record is from RNAcentral.
UACGGGGGGAGCAAGCGUUGUUCGGAAUUACUGGGCGUAAAGGGCUCGUAGGCGGCCAACUAAGUCAGACGUGAAAUCCCUCGGCUUAACCGGGGAACUGCGUCUGAUACUGGAUGGCUUGAGUUUGGGAGAGGGAUGCGGAAUUCCAGGUGUAGCGGUGAAAUGCGUAGAUAUCUGGAGGAACACCAAUGGCGAAGGCAGCUCGCUGGGACGUGACUGACGCUGAGACGCGAAAGCGUGGGGAGCAAACAGG